CCUACGGGCGGCUGCAGUGGGGAAUAUUGGACAAUGGGCGAAAGCCUGAUCCAGCCAUGCCGCGUGUGUGAAGAAGGCCUUCGGGUUGUAAAGCACUUUCAGUGGGGAAGAAAGCCUUGGGGCUAAUACCCUCGAGGAAGGACAUCACCCACAGAAGAAGCACCGGCUAACUCCGUGCCAGCAGCCGCGGUAAUACGGAGGGUGCGAGCGUUAAUCGGAAUUAAUGGGCGUAAAGCGCGCGUAGGCGGUCUGGUAAGCCGGUUGUGAAAGCCCCGGGCUCAACCUGGGAACGGCAUCCGGAACUGUCAGGCUAGAGUGCAGGAGAGGAAGGUAGAAUUCCCGGUGUAGCGGUGAAAUGCGUAGAGAUCGGGAGGAAUACCAGUGGCGAAGGCGGCCUUCUGGACUGACACUGACGCUGAGGUGCGAAAGCGUGGGUAGCAAACAGGAUUAGAUACCCCAGUAGUC
This 465-nucleotide ribosomal RNA is filed under the name Vreelandella stevensii. RNAcentral describes it as "partial 16S ribosomal RNA". It matches the Rfam family "Bacterial small subunit ribosomal RNA", at positions 338 to 795 of the family's 1533-position model. The record is from RNAcentral. Lineage: Bacteria; Pseudomonadati; Pseudomonadota; Gammaproteobacteria; Oceanospirillales; Halomonadaceae.